UACAGAGGUCCCGAGCGUUGUUCGGAUUCAUUGGGCGUAAAGGGUGCGUAGGCGGCGGGGCCAGUCUGAUGUGAAAUCCCCGGGCUCAACCCGGGAACUGCAUUGGAUACUGCCUUGCUAGAGUACUGGAGAGGGAACUGGAAUUUACGGUGUAGCAGUGAAAUGCGUAGAGAUCGUAAGGAAGGCCAGUGGCGAAGGCGAGUUCCUGGACAGUGACUGACGCUGAGGCACGAAGGCCAGGGAGCAAACGGG
Molecule: ribosomal RNA, 252 nt
Filed under: uncultured bacterium
Lineage: Bacteria
Description: partial 16S ribosomal RNA
Rfam family: Bacterial small subunit ribosomal RNA
Source: RNAcentral